UAUUCACCCUGCCCUGAAGACAUGGAUAACCCCGGGAAACUGGGAAUAAUACGUGAUAGGUCACAUCAUCUGGAAGGAGAGAUGGCUUAAAUGGACGCGUGAGCUUAUUUCACGUGAAACGCUUCAGGAUGGGACUGCGACUGAUCAGGCUGUUGGCGGGGUAAUGGCCCACCAAACCAAUAACCAGUACGGGCCUUGAGAGAGGGGGCCCGGAGAUGGACACUGAGAGAAGGGUCCAGGUCCUUCGGGGCGCAGCAGGCGCGAAACCUUCGCAAUGCGCGCCCCGUUUCCGAGGUUAAUCCGAGUGGUUCCCGCUGAGGGAAUCUUUGUCGGCUGAAAAAGGCCCUUU
This 349-nucleotide ribosomal RNA is filed under the name uncultured crenarchaeote. RNAcentral describes it as "bacterial SSU rRNA". It matches the Rfam family "Archaeal small subunit ribosomal RNA", at positions 101 to 433 of the family's 1478-position model. Lineage: Archaea; Thermoproteati; Thermoproteota. The record is from RNAcentral.